This is a non-coding RNA of Paramuricea clavata, 95 nucleotides long. The record is from the annotation of a GenBank genome assembly. NCBI's taxonomy places the organism in Eukaryota, Metazoa, Cnidaria, Anthozoa, Malacalcyonacea, Plexauridae.
AACUCAACUGUUUGACAAUAGUCAUGCUUUAUAUAUUGUUUUAUAGAACAAUAUUAUCAAUAUAUAAAGCAUGACUAUUGUCAAACAGUUGAGUU